CCUACGGGAGGCAGCAGUGGGGAAUCUUGCGCAAUGGGCGAAAGCCUGACGCAGCGACGCCGCGUGUGGGAAGAAGGCCUUCGGGUUGUAAACCACUUUCAGGAGGGACGAAGCCACUCGGGUUAAUAGCCCAGAGGGUGACGGUACCUCCAGAAGAAGCCCCGGCUAACUACGUGCCAGCAGCCGCGGUAAU
RNAcentral lists this ribosomal RNA (193 nucleotides) under uncultured bacterium. Its description in RNAcentral is "partial 16S ribosomal RNA". It matches the Rfam family "Bacterial small subunit ribosomal RNA", at positions 338 to 524 of the family's 1533-position model. The record is from RNAcentral.